Molecule: ribosomal RNA, 119 nt
Filed under: Triticum aestivum (bread wheat)
Lineage: Eukaryota; Viridiplantae; Streptophyta; Magnoliopsida; Poales; Poaceae
Also listed under: 1 other name
Source: RNAcentral
AGAUGCGAUCAUACCAGCACUAAAGCACCGGAUCCCAUCAGAACUCCGAAGUUAAGUGUGCUUGGGCGAGAGUAGUACUAGGAUGGGUGACCUCCUGGGAAGUCCUGGUGUUGCAUUCC